AUUGAACGCUGGCGGCAGGCCUAACACAUGCAAGUCGAGCGGAUGAAGGGAGCUUGCUCCUGGAUUCAGCGGCGGGCGGGUGAGUAAUGCCUAGGAAUCUGCCUGGUAGUGGGGGAUAACGUCCGGAAACGGGCGCUAAUACCGCAUACGUCCUGAGGGAGAAAGUGGGGGAUCUUCGGACCUCACGCUAUCAGAUGAGCCUAGGUCGGAUUAGCUAGUUGGUGGGGUAAAGGCCUACCAAGGCGAGGAUCCGUAACUGGUCUGAGAGGAUGAUCAGUCACACUGGAACUGAGACACGGUCCAGACUCCUACGGGAGGCAGCAGUGGGGAAUAUUGGACAAUGGGCGAAAGCCUGAUCCAGCCAUGCCGCGUGUGUGAAGAAGGUCUUCGGAUUGUAAAGCACUUUAAGUUGGGAGGAAGGGCAGUAAGUUAAUACCUUGCUGUUUUGACGUUACCAACAGAAUAAGCACCGGCUAACUUCGUG
RNAcentral lists this ribosomal RNA (484 nucleotides) under uncultured bacterium. RNAcentral's name for it is "partial 16S ribosomal RNA". It matches the Rfam family "Bacterial small subunit ribosomal RNA", at positions 30 to 507 of the family's 1533-position model. The record is from RNAcentral.